RNAcentral lists this ribosomal RNA (333 nucleotides) under Vibrio sp. 1-1(7). RNAcentral's name for it is "bacterial SSU rRNA". It matches the Rfam family "Bacterial small subunit ribosomal RNA", at positions 1 to 315 of the family's 1533-position model. Lineage: Bacteria; Pseudomonadati; Pseudomonadota; Gammaproteobacteria; Vibrionales; Vibrionaceae. The record is from RNAcentral.
UAAUUGAAGAGUUUGAUCAUGGCUCAGAUUGAACGCUGGCGGCAGGCCUAACACAUGCAAGUCGAGCGGUAACAGAGAGAAGCUUGCUUCUCUGCUGACGAGCGGCGGACGGGUGAGUAAUGCCUGGGAAAUUGCCCUGAUGUGGGGGAUAACCAUUGGAAACGAUGGCUAAUACCGCAUGAUGCCCUUGCUUAUAAUGAGCGGGGGCCAAAGAGGGGGACCUUCGGGCCUCUCGCGUCAGGAUAUGCCUAGGUGGGAUUAGCUAGUUGGUGAGGUAAGGGCUCACCAAGGCGACGAUCCCUAGCUGGUCUGAGAGGAUGAUCAGCCACACUG